Molecule: long non-coding RNA, 1390 nt
Filed under: Corvus moneduloides (New Caledonian crow)
Lineage: Eukaryota; Metazoa; Chordata; Aves; Passeriformes; Corvidae
Description: lncRNA (ENSCMUG00000017117.1)
Source: RNAcentral
AGCGUCCCUAAGGAUGAAUGGCUCCGAGCUCGCCGGCACGAGCGCGUCCAACCCCAAAUCCAAGGAGGAUCCCGCGGGGAACGGGCGCGAGGAGAAGGAGAAGAACCCCUUUGCCGAGUACAUGUGGAUGGAGAACGAGGAGGACUUCAACCGGCAGGUGGAGGAGGAGCUGCAGGAGCAGGAAUUCCUGGAUCGCUGCUUCCAGGAGAUGCUGGAGGAGGAGGAGGAGCGCGAUUGGUUCAUCCCGGCGCGGGAUCUGCCCCAGGGAAUGGCGCAGCUCCAGCAGCAGCUCCACGGGCUGCCCGCGGCCGACGCACGCGCAUCCCAGGAUAUCCUGAGCAAAAGCACCUUGAACCCGGACGCCAAGGAAUUUGUACCCGGAGUGAAGUACUGACCCUCGGCUCCCAGAGACUGAAUCCCUGCUCCAGGAAAAAUUUGGGACACACUAGGGGGGGAGGGGAGAGGGGCCGGCCUGGAGCGGCUCCGAGGGCCGGGAUCGGCUCCAAGGAAUUUGCUUUUCCCGAUUUUUUUUUUUUUUUUGGGGGGUUUUUUCCCUUCGGUUUUUAGCGGUUCUUCCUCGUUUGUUCCUGGGAUUUGGGCUCGUUGUGCCAGCGGGGAAAAUCUUGGGAAAAUGGUGGGGAAAUCCUGGGAAAAACUCAGGAGAAUCAUGGGAAAAUCCUGGGAAAAUCUUGGGGGAAUUGUGGGGGAAUUGUGGGAGAAUCUCCGGAAAACUGGGGGGGAAAUCGUGGGAAAAUUGUGAGAAAAUCCUGGGAAAAUCCUGGGAGAAUCCUGGGAAAAUCCUGGGAGAAUUGUGGGAAAAUCGUGGGGAAAUCAUGGGAGAAUCCUGGGAAAAUCUCGGGGAAAUCCUGGGAAAAUUGUGGGAAAAUCUCAGGAAAAUCACGGGAGAAUCUCAGGAAAAUUGUGGGGAAAUUGGGAGAAAAUCCUGGGAAAACCUUGGGAGAAUCUCGGGAAAAUCCUGGGAAAAUCUCAGGAAAAUCUCAGGAGAAUCUCGGGAAAAUCCUGGGGAAAUCGUGGGAAAAUCCUGGGAAAACCUCAGGAGAAUCUCGGGAAAAUCUUGGGAGUAUUGUGGGGAAAUCCUGGGAAAACCUCGGGAAAAUUGUGGGAAAACCUUGGGAAAAUAGUGGGAAAAUCUCGGGAAAAUCCUGGGAAAAUCGUGGGAAAACCUCGGGAGAAUCUCGGGAAAAUCGUGGGAAAAUUGUGGGAAAAAUCAUGGAAAAAUCGUGGGGAAAUCUCGGGAAAAUCUCGGGAGAAUCGUGGGAAAACCUCGGGAAAAUUGCGGGAAAAUCUUGGGAAAAUUGGGGGGAAAUCUCGGGAAAAUCUCAGGAGAAUCAUGGGAAAAUCACGGGAAAAUCUCGGGGGAAUUGUGGGA